CCUGCAUCCACUAAUCUUCCUCUUCUCUACAACUAUUUGGCAUUUGGUUGCCACUUUUCAAGCGUUCUCUUCAAUGUAUUGUUUUCAUCCAAAUAAAAGUCCUGAUCCGGAAUUGAAGAAGUUCAUUUUUGCACGAGCAAGGUUAUAGAAGAAGAAAGAGUGAUAUUUUGGUAUUCAAUUUCUGCUCUUAUUUUACCAAUUUUGCUCCUAUUUUUACCAGCAUGUUACCUCCAUUAAUCACAUUGAAUGCUGGGACUGGCAUAACAAGCUCUUUGGUGUUUGAUAUUUCCUGAAUGUACAUGUGUUUGUAGAGGGAUAUCCCCUUUGCUCCAGCUCAAGCCCAACAUCCACUAAGAGAAACUCCUAGAAUUGCAUUAGCCCCCAAUUUUGAUUUGUUUGGAGUUCCUUCAAUCUCCAGCACAAUCGCAUCAACCUCAGCUUGAUUCCUUUGUAUAGAAGAAAGGCAACGUGGUCAGUAUUAGCAGUAUUUUGUUUCUUGUUUGAUUUGUAUAGAUAUGAAUACAUAUAUAAAUAGUGAAAUUGAAGCUAUUAAUGAAACUCCUUCAACAUCUGUUCCCCCACUUCCACUAUUAUGUUUAGGGAAGAGAAAAAAUAAAAAAUCUUUGGAUGUGUGGGAACACUUCACAGUUGUAGGGAAUCCAAACGCUGAAGACGUUAGGUGUGCACAAAACUAUUGUGGGCAGGAUUAUGCCUGUGGGGCUAGGAAGUAUGGGACUAUUAACUUGAGGAAUCAUUUGGUUUUUUAUUGUAAGAAGUAUCUCAAAAGAUUGGAAGAUAGAUGACAAAAAGCCCAAUUGAGGGUUGUGUGAACAUUCUAGUUGGCUUUAAUAAGGAAGAGUGUAGGCUUGCAUGUGCUAAGAUGAUAAUAUUGGACGAAUUACCUUUUGGCUUUGUUGAAGGUGAGGGGUUUAGACAAUUUUGUAAGGUAGCAAGUCCUAAAUUUGAUCCUCCAUCUCGUAGAAUUGUUGUUGGAGAUCAGUUGUAUAUGGAUAAAAAAUUGCAAUUGAAAAAGAUCAUCCAACAUCAAAGAGUUUCUCUUACUAUUGAUACUUGAAGCUCCAUUCAAAAUAUUAGUUAUAUGUCUCUCACAGCACACUAUGUUG
Molecule: long non-coding RNA, 1124 nt
Organism: Olea europaea var. sylvestris
Lineage: Eukaryota; Viridiplantae; Streptophyta; Magnoliopsida; Lamiales; Oleaceae
Exons: 3
Source: RefSeq, a predicted model, not a curated record